Molecule: non-coding RNA, 259 nt
Filed under: Clostridium sp.
Lineage: Bacteria; Bacillati; Bacillota; Clostridia; Eubacteriales; Clostridiaceae
Description: T-box sequence
Rfam family: T-box leader
About the family: Uncharged tRNA acts as the effector for transcription antitermination of genes in the T-box leader family.
Source: RNAcentral
GAAAAUCCAUAGAAAAAGCAAAGUAGAUAUAUUGUAAAAUAUUACAGAGAGAAUGGUAAAGAUGAGAACCAUUUAUAUUAAAUAUAUUGAAAUUUCACUUUUGAGGUCUUUUUUUCAAAGCAAAAAGCAAGUAGAAAGAAGCGGUAGAACCGUUAAAACUAUAAAGAGGUUAAUUAGGCGAGCUUAUAGAGAGAUAUUAUGCAUAAGUAAGCCAUUAAUAAAAUUAGGUGGUACCACGAAAGAGCCAAUCGUCCUAAAA